Molecule: ribosomal RNA, 490 nt
Filed under: Fusarium sp. HEB01
Lineage: Eukaryota; Fungi; Ascomycota; Sordariomycetes; Hypocreales; Nectriaceae
Description: eukaryotic LSU rRNA
Rfam family: 5.8S ribosomal RNA (bases 164-317)
Source: RNAcentral
GCGGAGGGAUCAUUACCGAGUUUACAACUCCCAAACCCCUGUGAACAUACCUAUACGUUGCCUCGGCGGAUCAGCCCGCGCCCCGUAAAACGGGACGGCCCGCCCGAGGACCCUAAACUCUGUUUUUAGUGGAACUUCUGAGUAAAACAAACAAAUAAAUCAAAACUUUCAACAACGGAUCUCUUGGUUCUGGCAUCGAUGAAGAACGCAGCAAAAUGCGAUAAGUAAUGUGAAUUGCAGAAUUCAGUGAAUCAUCGAAUCUUUGAACGCACAUUGCGCCCGCCAGUAUUCUGGCGGGCAUGCCUGUUCGAGCGUCAUUUCAACCCUCAAGCUCAGCUUGGUGUUGGGACUCGCGGUAACCCGCGUUCCCCAAAUCGAUUGGCGGUCACGUCGAGCUUCCAUAGCGUAGUAAUCAUACACCUCGUUACUGGUAAUCGUCGCGGCCACGCCGUUAAACCCCAACUUCUGAAUGUUGACCUCGGAUCAGGUA